AUCAUCAUCGAUUCUGAAGCGGUGACAAAUUCAUAAAAAAUGUCAAUAUUUUAAAGAUGGUUUUCGCGAAACCGUCUUUGGAUGUGGACAAUUUUAAUUUCAUUACAUCCCCCCUUGCGCCCGUUCCUCUCCUCUGCCCCCAUUCCCUUCUCCUCCCAUCCAAAACCCUAACCCCGAAAAAAGCCAAACCCAAACCCCCCAUUGCCCUCCAUAAUUGGAACCGCAAGCCCGAUCGAGCUCUUCGGCUCCAUCCUAUGCGUUACAGUCAGUACCUUUGACAAAGGCAGUGUGGACAAGAUCAUCAACAUCACUAACAUCGACCUCUUCUUCUUCAUCAUGGGCUUCUCUGUGGUCGCCAUCGACGUUGAUGUCGGCCUCCGCAACCUCGGCCUCGAGAACUGUGUCAACCACACCUUCAUCGAGGUCCUCAAUGACGAUAAAGAGAGACAAAGAAACAAAGGCAAAAAAGAGAGAGAAAGAGUGGUUGAAAGACGCGGAAGUUACGCUCUACAGGGAGUUGUGGCAUGUGUGUGCAGGUCCUCUGGUGACAUUGCCUAGAGAAGGAAAGCACAUAUUCUACUUUUCUCGAGGACAUGUUGGUUUACGAUCUGUCACCCAAGAUCCUCUGUCGGGUUAUCAACUUCAUGCUCAAGAGAGUAACCAACGCUUAAUUUUCUUUGCUUUUCAAGAACUAAGUUUGAAAAUGAAUUUGUUUUUGAUGUUAUGGUGCUUCAUUUUGGGUAAAAAAAAUUUAGGUGGAGCCAGACACAAAUGAGGUGUUUGCUUAAGUGACUUUACUUCCUGAACCAAAUGUAAGUUAAUUAAUCUAAGCUCCUGUGAGUUUCAAUUCUUUAA
This is a long non-coding RNA of Glycine soja, 855 nucleotides long. RefSeq lists it as uncharacterized. The record is from RefSeq and is a predicted model, not a curated record. NCBI's taxonomy places the organism in Eukaryota, Viridiplantae, Streptophyta, Magnoliopsida, Fabales, Fabaceae. The transcript is spliced from 2 exons.